CCUUACUUUUACUAAAAUGUUCCUAUCAUUUUCAUAGCUUCCCCAGCUUCCCAUUCCUUAUUUUAGUCUUUUAUUUGUGAUAUAUACCGGAUUCUCCAUUAGAAUAUCUCUACUUUUCUUCCUUGCUUAGUCAUUUUCUUCAUUCACCAUUUUUUUACUAUUUUGCCCUCCUACUUUUGUUCAAGUACUAUCUUCCUAGGUAACUCUUUCUGUCUUUUUCUUUUUUUAAAUCUUUUAUAGCUAGUAAUAGGAGAAUUACAAGGAGUGGCUCUACAUGCCCUCAUACCCCUGCUAGGAAAUCAGCUGAGGAUUUUGCCCCUAGGGUUUUCUAGAAGGAUCUUGAUGCUUUUAAGAUUAUGUGAUUCCUUCGAGUUAUACCUUUUCUUUAUGCAAUUCCUCUUUUCGGGAAGAACACCCUCCCAUUCCAUCUCCUCAGUAGUUUUUAGGGAACAAUUUGAUGCUGGUCUUUGUUUCCCUCUCUCGUAUCUCCUAUUAGAUUUUUUAAAACUUCAUCGAAUUUCCCUUGGGCAACUGCAUCCUAAUGCUAUUUGUCUUAUUUGUUGUCUUUCAGAAAUUUUUAGGAUAAAGGGUCUAAUCCCCUUUUUAGAUGAUUUCCACCAACUCUUCUUUGUUUCUAGUAAACUGUACUCUUGUGUAUAACCUUCCUUCCUUUGUCAAAAGUUGGAGAAAAUUCUUUUUCUUCAUCCAUCAUGAUUCUGCCUUUGUAGAUUUUCCUUCCUCUUGGGCUCCUCUUAUUAGGAAAAAAUAAAAAGGGCCCCUUGUGAGAGAAAAUUCUUUAUUCCUAGAGAGGUUACUGGCAAAGUGCUAGUCUAAAAGUUCUCUAGUUAAGGACUAUAUAUUCAAAACUUCUCCUCUCUCUUAGUUACUAUUCCUUAAGCAAUUUAUAGUCUUGCCUUUUCUGAUCUGAUGAGGAUGUACAUUCAGAUCACAAAGAUGAGGGUCCGGAUAUGACCACUAGCCAUCCUGAGGCACCUUAAGAUAUGGACCCUAGCUUGUUUCUGAAAGGUUUGAGUUUGAAGAAGAAAGCUUCCAUUUCUUUAUCUCAAUCUUCAACAGUUCCUGCCUCAACAGCCAAUGAUAAAUCUUAUGGCUUCAAAGUUUCUUCCUCGAAAGGUAGAGGAAAGAAGACUAAGCCUCAUCUUCAUUCUAUAGAGCCACUUUGAAAAGAAUAAGUCUUGGGAAGGCUCUUCCCUUUUAAAGAAGUCCUAGUCCAGCUUUCCUAGUCCAAUAGGAUGGUUGUCUGAGAGUUUUACCAUGGCUACUAUCACCAACUCUAACGUGUGUGACUUGGUGGCAGAAUGCAAGACUUCCCCAUGAUCUUAAUAAAUAGGAGAAGUAUGAAAUGGAUGAGGUUAUUUCCCAUAUUUCCUAUAAUAAUUUAGCCGUUAUGCAGGGAUCCUUCAAGCUAGAAGAGAUUCUGAAGAAGCUCAAGGUGUCUUGUGUUGAAGCUCACUCCAAUGCUUUUGGAUUUUAGAUUACUUUCGAAAAGGCCCAAAGGUUACUAGAUAGGACUAAAGAAGCUUUUACCAAAGGGAGACAACUAUCUUCAAAGAUUGAGAAGCUAACCUCUCAAUUUGUAGAAUGAAAGAACAAUUUAAAGAGGUUGAGUCUGCCAAGAUGACCAUUGAGGAGAAAUUCCAAGUGGAAGCCAUGAAGCUUCAAGCUUUGUGUUCUGCCAUGAUCUCCCACUAUCAUCAAGCGGUAAUUGAAGUUGUUCAGUCUUAAAAUCCAGAUGCCAAUCUCACAAUUGUGGAUGAAAUAAAUCUUAAAGAUUUAUAAACUCUUGUUCUAGCAAACCAUAAUGCCCAUCAUUCUGAACUAGUGGAAGAGGCAAUCGAAUAUGAGGAAGAGCAUACCUCUAACACUGUUAACCUAGAGGACGUGAUUGUCCUCCCUGAUGAUGGCAAAGAUCUGCCAUAACUUUCUUGUAAUUUUUGAACAAUCUUACUUUUCAUAUAAUAGUUUUUAUUUUGGUUUUGGGGCA
Long non-coding RNA from Ricinus communis (castor bean), 2005 nucleotides. RefSeq lists it as uncharacterized. NCBI's taxonomy places the organism in Eukaryota, Viridiplantae, Streptophyta, Magnoliopsida, Malpighiales, Euphorbiaceae. The transcript has 2 exons. The record is from RefSeq and is a predicted model, not a curated record.